AGAAUGGGAUCUUUCCCUGAGUUGAGGCUCCCAACCCCUGUGAACAUACCUAUACGUUGCCUCGGCGGAUCAGCCCGCGCCCCGUAAAACGGGACGGCCCGCCCGAGGACCCCUAAACUCUGUUUUUAGUGGAACUUCUGAGUAAAACAAACAAAUAAAUCAAAACUUUCAACAACGGAUCUCUUGGUUCUGGCAUCGAUGAAGAACGCAGCAAAAUGCGAUAAGUAAUGUGAAUUGCAGAAUUCAGUGAAUCAUCGAAUCUUUGAACGCACAUUGCGCCCGCCAGUAUUCUGGCGGGCAUGCCUGUUCGAGCGUCAUUUCAACCCUCAAGCUCAGCUUGGUGUUGGGACUCGCGGUAACCCGCGUUCCCCAAAUCGAUUGGCGGUCACGUCGAGCUUCCAUAGCGUAGUAAUCAUACACCUCGUUACUGGUAAUCGUCGCGGCCACGCCGUAAAACCCCAACUUCUGAAUGUUGACCUCGGAUCAGGUAGGAAUACCCGCUGAACUUAAGCAUAUAGUAAAGCGGAGGA
This 530-nucleotide ribosomal RNA is filed under the name Fusarium equiseti. RNAcentral describes it as "eukaryotic LSU rRNA". The stretch from base 164 to 317 matches the Rfam family "5.8S ribosomal RNA". The record is from RNAcentral. Lineage: Eukaryota; Fungi; Ascomycota; Sordariomycetes; Hypocreales; Nectriaceae.